GACGAACGCUGGCGGCGUGCCUAAUACAUGCAAGUCGAACGCUGAAGGAGGAGCUUGCUUCUCUGGAUGAGUUGCGAACGGGUGAGUAACGCGUAGGUAACCUGCCUGGUAGCGGGGGAUAACUAUUGGAAACGAUAGCUAAUACCGCAUAAUAGUAGAUGUUGCAUGACAUUUGCUUAAAAGGUGCAAUUGCAUCACUACCAGAUGGACCUGCGUUGUAUUAGCUAGUUGGUGGGGUAACGGCUCACCAAGGCGACGAUACAUAGCCGACCUGAGAGGGUGAUCGGCCACACUGGGACUGAGACACGGCCCAGACUCCUACGGGAGGCAGCAGUAGGGAAUCUUCGGCAAUGGACGGAAGUCUGACCGAGCAACGCCGCGUGAGUGAAGAAGGUUUUCGGAUCGUAAAGCUCGGUUGUAAGAGAAGAACGAGUGUGAGAGUGGAAAGUUCACACUGUGACGGUAUCUGACCAGAAAGGGACGGCUAACUACGUG
This 495-nucleotide ribosomal RNA is filed under the name uncultured bacterium. Its description in RNAcentral is "partial 16S ribosomal RNA". It matches the Rfam family "Bacterial small subunit ribosomal RNA", at positions 28 to 507 of the family's 1533-position model. The record is from RNAcentral.